UACGUAGGGUCCGAGCGUUGUCCGGAAUUAUUGGGCGUAAAGGGCUCGUAGGCGGUUUGUCGCGUCGGGAGUGAAAACACGGGGCUUAACCCCGUGCCUGCUUCCGAUACGGGCAGACUAGAGGUAUGCAGGGGAGAACGGAAUUCCUGGUGUAGCGGUGAAAUGCGCAGAUAUCAGGAGGAACACCGGUGGCGAAGGCGGUUCUCUGGGCAACUCCUGACGCUGAGGCGCGAAAGCGUGGGGAGCAAACGGG
Molecule: ribosomal RNA, 253 nt
Filed under: uncultured bacterium
Lineage: Bacteria
Description: partial 16S ribosomal RNA
Rfam family: Bacterial small subunit ribosomal RNA
Source: RNAcentral